CAUUGCCUGGCUGCAAGGCUGCCUGGAACAUCCUGAAGGGUACAUAAGUGGCUGAGCUGGAGAAUUCUAGAGGAGUACACAUCUGUGAAUGGGAAGUCUCAGCACUGGUCUUUGAACUUGAGCUGUUGUACUGUGAAGUCCCAUGUCCAAAGGAAGUAUUUCAGAUACAGGAAUAUUCACUAAAGACUCAGAGCUAGAGGAUUAGGAGCAGAUGAAACUAAUUGGGAAGGUAGGAGACAUCUGAUGGAGAACCUGCAGCUGCAUGCAGGAGAGAGGAACCAGUUGGCAGCUGGGAUGCACUGUCACAGUCACCACCAGUUUCAGCUGGGGCUCCACAGAGAUACAGAUGCAGGCACUGGACCAGCUGUUCACUGUGGCCAAGGAGCACCUGGUAGACUCAUGGGCCUGGUGCGUGGAGGAAGUUGCCUGUGAGGAGGCAAGGGACUGGCAUG
Long non-coding RNA from Alligator mississippiensis (American alligator), 452 nucleotides. RefSeq lists it as uncharacterized. The record is from RefSeq and is a predicted model, not a curated record. Lineage: Eukaryota; Metazoa; Chordata; Crocodylia; Alligatoridae. The transcript is spliced from 4 exons.